GCAUAUCAAUAAGCGGAGGAAAAGAAACCAACAGGGAUUGCCCCAGUAACGGCGAGUGAAGCGGCAAAAGCUCAAAUUUGAAAUCCUGCGGGAAUUGUAAUUUGAAGGUUUCGUGGUCUGAGUCGGCCGCGCCCAAGUCCAUUGGAACAUGGCGCCUGGGAGGGUGAGAGCCCCGUAUGGCGCACGCCGACUCUUUGCACCGCGGCUCCGACGAGUCGAGUUGUUUGGGAAUGCAGCUCUAAGUGGGUGGUAAAUUCCAUCUAAAGCUAAAUAUUGGCGAGAGACCGAUAGCGAACAAGUACAGUGAUGGAAAGAUGAAAAGCACUUUGAAAAGAGAGUGAAACAGCACGUGAAAUUGUUGAAAGGGAAGGGCUUGCAAGCAGACACGGUUUUACCGGGCCAGCGUCGAAAAGGGGGGAGGAACAAGAACUCGAGAAUGUGGCGCGCACCUUCGGGCGCGCGUGUUAUAGCUCGUGUUGACGCCUCCAUCCCUUUUCGAGGCCUGCGAUUCUAGGACGCUGGCGUAAUGGUUGCAAGCCGCCCGUCUUGAAACACGGACC
This 560-nucleotide ribosomal RNA is filed under the name Clavispora lusitaniae. RNAcentral's name for it is "LSU rRNA". It matches the Rfam family "Eukaryotic large subunit ribosomal RNA", at positions 38 to 667 of the family's 3401-position model. The record is from RNAcentral. Lineage: Eukaryota; Fungi; Ascomycota; Pichiomycetes; Serinales; Metschnikowiaceae.